Parasteatoda tepidariorum (common house spider) is the source of this 513-nucleotide non-coding RNA. The record is from RefSeq and is a predicted model, not a curated record. NCBI's taxonomy places the organism in Eukaryota, Metazoa, Arthropoda, Arachnida, Araneae, Theridiidae.
UUAUUUUCACUGAACUGAAACCAUUUUUUUUUCUAGCCCAGUUGGUGUAUUUGAAUUUGCAAAUUUUGCUAAUGGGACCAAAGCAGUGAUGGAUAAAGUUGUUGAAGUUACUAAAUCUGGUGUUACAACAAUUAUUGGUGGUGGUGACACUGCAACCUGUUGUGCAAAAUGGAAGACUGAAGACAAAGUGAGUCAUGUCAGCACUGGAGGAGGUGCUAGCUUAGAACUUUUGGAAGGUAAAACAUUACCUGGAGUUGCAGCUUUAUCAGAUGCAUGAAAUGGUCCUCAUUCCUAGAAAGUUAAUGAUUCUCAUUGUCUAAGUCAUCUACAAUGUUUCCAUGUGAAGUCUUGGUUAAAUGUUGAAGAGAUAAAAACCGGUGUUUAUAAAGUGACAUUUAAUGACAACUGAAAUAACUAAAGAAUAUGUGUGUUGCAAGAUUCCUUAUAAGAAUAUCAAAACAAUUUUGUUUAAAUGUAUGUUCAUUGUGAAUUAAAGUGUUAUUGAGCUACGUU